AAUGCCAAGGCCUGAGGAACUUUUUCUCACUCCAUGUGAUCCUCUGGGCUCUGCAGGGCCCCUCCAUUCAGCAUUUAAAAGAGACAUGGAGAUGGGUGUCCAGGAAGAACUGGACAAAACUUAAAAAGUUGAUGAAAACUAGCCAGCGGGAGAGCAGGAAGCUGCUCAAGGAGGUGAGUGGAGGCUGGAGAUCUGGAAGGAGGGGAGGACGUGACCUCUGUGUGGGCCACCUUAGAGAUGGAUCCCCAGGGAGCCCAGGAGAGACAGCAGCAGCAGGGUGUCGUCCCCUUCCUGGGCACGUUCCUCUAUCACCUGAAGCUGCUGGACAUUGGGAUGGAGGAUGAUCUGGAAGUGAGUGAGC
Diceros bicornis minor is the source of this 361-nucleotide long non-coding RNA. RefSeq lists it as uncharacterized. The record is from RefSeq and is a predicted model, not a curated record. NCBI's taxonomy places the organism in Eukaryota, Metazoa, Chordata, Mammalia, Perissodactyla, Rhinocerotidae. The transcript has 4 exons.